This is a long non-coding RNA of Felis catus (domestic cat), 1179 nucleotides long. RefSeq lists it as uncharacterized. The transcript has 3 exons. NCBI's taxonomy places the organism in Eukaryota, Metazoa, Chordata, Mammalia, Carnivora, Felidae. The record is from RefSeq and is a predicted model, not a curated record.
UCUAUCAGUUCACACUCCACACCAAGAUCCCUCAUGAAGAGAUAAUUUUCAUUUUCUGGAUUUCAAAUAUCCCCACUCCUGGAUUCUAGAAUGGUGGAGAAUAUAGUGCUGGAAGCUUAUGUGUCUCCAACUAUGACCUAAUUUAAGAUGGAAGGAUCUAAUUGAUACACAUAUGCCAAAGUAGCCACUGUAUUUUUAAUACGUAUAAACAAAAUGCUUUUCUAAUGGGGGAAAAUACCAUGAAAGACAAAGCCAGACACUUCAUUUAACAGUGUCUAUUAACGGGGAGGGAAGGGGAAGCUGUAUAAAGGAAUAAGUGGCUCCUGGAGAGAAAAGUGCUUCCCUCUCUUCAUUUUAGGCCUCCAGUUAGUUCACUUUGUUUUUUCGCAAGCCAUACUUUACAAACUAAACAUUCUUUUGGAAAAUGAGUUUAAACACAUUGGCAGCCAAAGAAAGGAAGCAUAGAGGGAACUGUAAUUCAUUUGGAGGAUUUUUUUUUCCAUCUGCUUCCAUUUAUUUGAAGUAUCCAGAAUACGUAAAUCCACAGAGACAAAAAGCAGUUGGUGAUUGCCAGCAUCUUGAGCAGCGGGAGGAACAGGAGGGACUGCUUGUCAGAUUAAGAAAAAUAUUCCAAGAUUUACACCAAACCAUAAGAAAAAAGAAGAAAAUUGAGACUUAAUUUUAUAAAGAUUAAGAAAACAGGGAAAAAAUUGAAAAAAUGGGAAACAAAAGCAACUGCACAUGAAAGAUGGAGGGUUAACUGGUCACUUCAGAAAGAGGAUAACAACUCGUUGUCUAGAAAACUGGUAAAUAAAUGUAAAUAAUUCAGAAAUUUAUCCUUUUUUCUUCUAUAAAUGCUACUAUAGUAGAAAAAUUGGCAGUUGAGGGGAAACUUCUUUUUAUAGAACAUUCUGUUAAGUGGAAAGUGCAGACAUACUGAUAUAAUUAAAACAUAAGCAUUUGAUAGUACUAUAUGAAGUAACAAAUGUAGAUAUUAGCCACCAAUAUAAAAAUGAAAGUGCAUGCAUGGGUCAUAUAGUUAUAAAGAAACUGUAAGAUUGUGAAUAGAGGUUUCAUUGGGAGAGAGCAGAGAGGUUGUUCCUGGGAUGGGUCUCAUAGAAUGUCCAGCAAAAUUCCAGUUUUCAACCUGUGUACUUGGAUCAAUAUUAUAAGCAUAUU